UCGACCUUAGCUCAGUUGGUAGAGCGGAAGAUUGUAGUUUGAUUAAUCUAAAUUGGAAAUCCUUAGGUCGCUGGUUCAAAUCCGGCAGGUUGGA
This 94-nucleotide transfer RNA is filed under the name Ipomoea nil (Japanese morning glory). It matches the Rfam family "tRNA". Rfam says of the family: Transfer RNA (tRNA) molecules are approximately 80 nucleotides in length. Their secondary structure includes four short double-helical elements and three loops (D, anti-codon, and T loops). Lineage: Eukaryota; Viridiplantae; Streptophyta; Magnoliopsida; Solanales; Convolvulaceae. The record is from Rfam by way of RNAcentral.